This 1116-nucleotide long non-coding RNA is filed under the name Anas platyrhynchos platyrhynchos (common mallard). Its description in RNAcentral is "lncRNA (ENSAPLG00000028647.1)". Lineage: Eukaryota; Metazoa; Chordata; Aves; Anseriformes; Anatidae. The record is from RNAcentral.
AUGGGAACAGCACCCCCGGCACUGGGGAGACUGGGCGGACUGGGAGCAGCUGGGGAGGUGCCCCCAAGCAGCGUGGGAGCAGCGCAGUUUUGGGUGGAAAAGAGGCAGAUUUGGGGCUUUUUGGUGUUGUUUGGGAAGAGCGGCUUCACGCAGCAGGGGCAGGAUUUGCCCGGUGGGUGCAGACGGACGGACGGACAGAGGGACGGGUGGGUGGGGGGCUGGAUGGAUGGACAGAGGGAUGGGGGGGGGGGCUGCACGGACGGACAGAGGGAUGGGGCGCAUCUCUCCCCGCUGCCCCCCACGUGCCCGGGGCGUGCUGGGUGCCAUAACCGGGUAAAUAUUAAUGCCCUUAUCGCCCAGACCUUGGCAACGGCCGCGGGCGGCUCCGCUCUGCCCCGCUCCGUCCUCGGGGAGAAAACAAACGGGGGGGCAGCACCCAUGGGUGGGCGCCGUCGGGGCCCCCUCCCACUGCAACUCCCCGAGGGGGUGAAGAAUCCCUGGGGGCGUGGGGAUGGGGGGUCCCCAGCGAAGGGCUUUGCUUUAAGGGUGGGGGUCUGCACAGAGCAGCCCCCGCUCACGCUGCCCCCUCCCAGAGGCUCGGGGGCGCUCAGAUCGGCUUUGGGGGCACCCCUGGGUGCUGCCGAGCCCUGCCUCAUCCUGCAGGGCCCGGAUCUGGUGGGGGCCAAACCCCAUCCUCGGCACACAGCCGGGUGUCUGCCUGUCUGUCCGUCCGUCCGUCUGUCCAUCUGUCUGUCCGUCCAUCCGUCUAUCCGGGUGUCUCCGUGUGUCUGUGCACGCCCCGAGGGUCUGCGCCCACACCCAGGGGCGCAUCCAUGUCUGCGCCCCCCCCAGCGCCCGCCUCUGUGUCCGUGUGUCCGUCCGUGUGUCCGUGUGUCCGAGCACACCCCACACCAAGGGCCAAGGUGGGGGCAUCCCAGCGGGUCGGGGGGCAGGGGGGUUUUUGGGGUGCAAUGGCAGCUCCGAGCCGUGCGCGUUGGCACCACCGCGGUGUUCGGGGACGGGGCCGGAGCGGCGGGGAGGGGCGGGGGGGGGGGGGGGGGCCGCGGCGGGGGCCCCCCCAGAAAAACCUCUUCUUGUGGGGGUCGGCGAAGGUGA